GUGGGUAUAGCUCAGUGGCAGAGUGUGUGUUCAGCACACAUGGGUCCUAGGUUCAAUCCCCAGUACCUCCA
RNAcentral lists this transfer RNA (71 nucleotides) under Camelus bactrianus (Bactrian camel). It matches the Rfam family "tRNA". From Rfam's summary of the family: Transfer RNA (tRNA) molecules are approximately 80 nucleotides in length. Their secondary structure includes four short double-helical elements and three loops (D, anti-codon, and T loops). Further hydrogen bonds mediate the characteristic L-shaped molecular structure. tRNAs have two regions of fundamental functional importance: the anti-codon, which is responsible for specific mRNA codon recognition, and the 3' end, to which the tRNAs corresponding amino acid is attached (by aminoacyl-tRNA synthetases). tRNAs cope with the degeneracy of the genetic code in two manners: having more than one tRNA (with a specific anti-codon) for a particular amino acid; and 'wobble' base-pairing, i.e. permitting non-standard base-pairing at the 3rd anti-codon position. RNAcentral also lists the same sequence under 2 other names. The record is from Rfam by way of RNAcentral. Lineage: Eukaryota; Metazoa; Chordata; Mammalia; Artiodactyla; Camelidae.